RNAcentral lists this ribosomal RNA (549 nucleotides) under uncultured bacterium. RNAcentral describes it as "partial 16S ribosomal RNA". It matches the Rfam family "Bacterial small subunit ribosomal RNA", at positions 355 to 895 of the family's 1533-position model. The record is from RNAcentral.
UGGGGAAUUUUGGACAAUGGGCGAAAGCCUGAUCCAGCAAUGCCGCGUGUGUGAAGAAGGCCUUCGGGUUGUAAAGCACUUUGUCCGGAAAGAAAUCCUUGGCUCUAAUACAGUCGGGGGAUGACGGUACCGGAAGAAUAAGCACCGGCUAACUACGUGCCAGCAGCCGCGGUAAUACGUAGGGUGCAAGCGUUAAUCGGAAUUACUGGGCGUAAAGCGUGCGCAGGCGGUUUGCUAAGACCGAUGUGAAAUCCCCGGGCUCAACCUGGGAACUGCAUUGGUGACUGGCAGGCUAGAGUAUGGCAGAGGGGGGUAGAAUUCCACGUGUAGCAGUGAAAUGGCGUAGAGAUGUGGAGGAAUACCGAUGGCGAAGGCAGCCCCCUGGGCCAAUACUGACGCUCAUGCACGAAAGCGUGGGGAGCAAACAGGAUUAGAUACCCCUGGUAGUCCACGCCCUAAACGAUGUCAACUAGUUGUUGGGGAUUCAUUUCCUUAGGUAACGUAGCUAACGCGUGAAGUUGACCGCCUGGGGAGUACGGUCGCAAGAUU